Non-coding RNA from Mustela lutreola (European mink), 83 nucleotides. Lineage: Eukaryota; Metazoa; Chordata; Mammalia; Carnivora; Mustelidae. The record is from the annotation of a RefSeq genome assembly.
GCCUGGGUGGCUCAGUUGGUUAAGCACCUGCCUUCGGUUCAGGUCUGGUCUCUGGGUCCCGGGAUCGAGCCCCGCCUCAGGCU